AUUGAACGCUGGCGGCAUGCUUUACACAUGCAAGUCGAACGGUAACAGGCCGCAAGGUGCUGACGAGUGGCGAACGGGUGAGUAAUGCAUCGGAACGUGCCCAGUCGUGGGGGAUAACGCAGCGAAAGCUGUGCUAAUACCGCAUACGAUCUAUGGAUGAAAGCGGGGGACCGUAAGGCCUCGCGCGAUUGGAGCGGCCGAUGUCAGAUAUAGGUAGUUGGUGGGGUAAAGGCUCACCAAGCCAACGAUCUGUAGCUGGCCUGAGAGGACGACCAGCCACACGGGGACUUGGACACGGCCCAGGCUCCUACGGGAGGCAGCAGUGGGGAAUUUUGGACAAUGGGCGCAAGCCUGAUCCAGCAAUGCCGCGUGCAGGAAGAAGGCCUUCGGGUUGUAAACUGCUUUUGUACGGAACGAAAAGGUUUGGGUUAAUACCCUGGGCCGAUGACGGUACCGUAAGAAUAAGCACCGGCUAACUACGUGCCAGCCGCCGCGGUAA
RNAcentral lists this ribosomal RNA (499 nucleotides) under uncultured bacterium. RNAcentral describes it as "partial 16S ribosomal RNA". It matches the Rfam family "Bacterial small subunit ribosomal RNA", at positions 29 to 523 of the family's 1533-position model. The record is from RNAcentral.